GUCCACGCUGUAAACGAUGAGCACUAGGUGUCGCGGGUAUUGACCCCUGCGGUGCCGACGCUAACGCAUUAAGUGCUCCGCCUGGGGAGUACGGUCGCAAGAUUAAAACUCAAAGGAAUUGACGGGGGCCCCGCACAAGCGGUGGAGCAUGUGGUUCAAUUCGACGCAACGCGCAGAACCUUACCCGGGCUAGACAACAGUGGACCGCCCCAGAGAUGGGGCUUUCCCUUCGGGGACCGCUGGUUCAGGUGCUGCAUGGCUGUCGU
This 266-nucleotide ribosomal RNA is filed under the name uncultured bacterium. RNAcentral describes it as "partial 16S ribosomal RNA". It matches the Rfam family "Bacterial small subunit ribosomal RNA", at positions 793 to 1055 of the family's 1533-position model. The record is from RNAcentral.